CCUGGUUGAUCCUGCCAGUAGUAUAUGCUUGUCUCAAAGAUUAAGCCAUGCAUGUCUCAGUGCAAGCCACAUUAAGGUGAAACCGCGAAUGGCUCAUUACAUCAGUUAUGGUUCCUUAGAUCGUACCCACAUUACUUGGAUAACUGUGGUAAUUCUAGAGCUAAUACAUGCAAAUAGAGUUCCGACCAGAGAUGAAAGGAAUGUUUUUAUUAGAUCAAAACCAAUCGGUGGCGGGCUUGUCUUGCUCACCGUUUGACUUGGUGACUCUGAAUAACGUUGUGCCGAUCGCACGGUCUAGUACCGGCGACGCAUCUUUCAAAUGUCUGCCUUAUCAACUGUCGAUGGUAGUUUCUGCGACUACCAUGGUUGUUACGGGUAACGGGGAAUCAGGGUUCGAUUCCGGAGAGGGAGCCUGAGAAACGGCUACCACAUCCAAGGAAGGCAGCAGGCGCGCAAAUUACCCACUCCCGGCACGGGGAGGUAGUGACGAAAAAUAACGAUACGGGACUCAUCCGAGGCCCCGUAAUCGGAAUGAGUACACUUUAAAUCCUUUAACGAGAAUUUAUUAGAGGGCCAGUCUGGUGCCAGCAGCCGCGGUAAUUCCAGCUCUAAUAGCGUAUAUUAAAGUUGUUGCGGUUAAAAAGCUCGUAGUUGAAUCUGUGUCCCACACUGUCGGUUCACCGAUCGCGGUGUUCAACAGGCAUGUCUGUGGGACGUCCUACCGGUGGGCUUAGCCCGUAAAAAGGCGGCCCAACUCAAAAUCCUACCAAGGUGCUCUUCACCGAGUGUCGAGGUGGGCCGGUACGUUUACUUUGAACAAAUUAGAGUGCUGAAAGCAGGCUCAUUCGCCUGAAUAUUGUGUGCAUGGAAUAAUGGAAUAGGACCUCGGUUCUAUUUUGUUGGUUUUUGGAAUUCCGAGGUAAUGAUUAAUAGGGACAACUGGGGGCAUUCGUAUUGCGACGUUAGAGGUGAAAUUCUUGGAUCGUCGCAAGACGGCCAGAAGCGAAAGCAUUUGCCAAAUGUGUUUUCAUCAAUCAAGAACGAAAGUUAGAGGUUCGAAGGCGAUCAGAUACCGCCCUAGUUCUAACCAUAAACAGCUUCCGGGAAACCAAAGCUUUUGGGUUCCGGGGGAAGUAUGGUUGCAAAGCUGAAACUUAAAGGAAUUGACGGAAGGGCACUACAAGGAGUGGAGCCUGCGGCUUAAUUUGACCCUACACGGGAAACCUCACCAGGUCCAAACACCGGAAGGAUUGACAGAUUGAGAGCUCUUUCUUGAUUCGGUGGGUUGUGGUGCAUGGCCAUUCUUAGUUGGUGGAGUGAUUUGUCUGGUUAAUUCUGAUAACGAACGAGACUCUAGCCUGCUAAAUAGACGUACUUUCUGGUAUUGCAAAGACCCUCCGCUUCGGCUUCGGUCGUUGUUGGUUGUGGUUCUCACUACCGGCGUACAAAUAUAUUUUCUUAGAGGGACAGGCGGCAUUUAGUCGCACGAAAUUGAGCAAUAACAGGUCUGUGAUGCCGUUAGAUGUUCUGGGCCGCACGCGCGCUACACUGAAGAGAUCAGCAGGUUUUCCUUGGCCGAAAGGUCCGGGUAAUCCGUUGAAGCCUCUUCGUGCUAGGGAUUGGGGCUUGCAAUUCUUCCCCAUGAACGAGGAAUUCCUAGUAAGCGCGAGUCAUAAGCUUGCGUUGAUUAUGUCCCUGCCCUUUGUACACACCGCCCGUCGCUACUACCGAUUGAAUUAUUUAGUGAGGUCUUCGGACCGGUGCGCGGCAGCGUUUCGACAUUGCCGAUGUUGCUGGGAAGAUAACCAAACUUGAUUAUUUAGAGGAAGUAAAAGUCGUAACAAGGUUUCCGUAGGUGAACCUGCGGAAG
RNAcentral lists this ribosomal RNA (1870 nucleotides) under Ctenocephalides felis (cat flea). RNAcentral describes it as "SSU rRNA". It matches the Rfam family "Eukaryotic small subunit ribosomal RNA". The record is from RNAcentral. Lineage: Eukaryota; Metazoa; Arthropoda; Insecta; Siphonaptera; Pulicidae.